GGCUAGAACAGCUAGCACAAUUGUCAUUAUAAUUUGCAAUACACUUACUAGCUUGGUUUUUAU
This 63-nucleotide transfer RNA is filed under the name Girardia tigrina. RNAcentral describes it as "tRNA-Cys". The record is from RNAcentral. Lineage: Eukaryota; Metazoa; Platyhelminthes; Tricladida; Dugesiidae.